UGACAAACAUAAGAGGUCCAGCCUGCCCAGUGACAAAGUUCAACGGCCGCGGUACCCUAACCGUGCGAAGGUAGCAUAAUCACUUGUUCUUUAAAUGAGGACUUGUAUCAACGGCACUACGAGGGCUAUACUGUCUCCUUUUUCUAAUCAGUGAAACUGAUCUCCCCGUGAAGAAGCGGGGAUUGAGAUAUAAGACGAGAAGACCCCAUGGAGCUUUAAACUCACCAUGCACCUCUGUGCUCCCAUACCCCUAAACACAACAGACCUGCAUGUUAGUUUUAGGUUGGGGUGACCACGGAGUACAAUUCAACCUCCAUAGCAAAUGGGCUAAAACCCUUAUCCACGAGACACACCUCUAAGAAUUACUAAACUAAUGCUUACGACCCGAUAUUCGAUCAAUGAACCAAGUUACCCUGGGGAUAACAGCGCAAUCUACUUCAAGAGCCCAUAUCGACAAGUAGGU
Molecule: ribosomal RNA, 463 nt
Filed under: Rana ornativentris
Lineage: Eukaryota; Metazoa; Chordata; Amphibia; Anura; Ranidae
Description: partial 16S ribosomal RNA
Rfam family: Bacterial large subunit ribosomal RNA
Source: RNAcentral